CGAACGUUUUCGGAAUCCYGGGCUUAAAGGGUGCGCAGGCGGCUUGGUAAGUCAGGUGUGAAAUUUCUCAGCUCAACUGAGAAACUGCGCUUGAAACUACCAAGCUUGAGUUUCCUAGGGGUAUGCGGAACUUCCAGUGGAGCGGUGAAAUGUGUUGAUAUUGGAAGGAACGCCGUUGGCGAAAGCGGCMUACUGGGGGAAUACUGACGCUCAUGCAGAAAGCUASGGUAGCGAACGGGAUUAGAUACCCCGGUAGUCCUAGCUGUAAACGUUGAGUACUUGUUGGAAGGGGGUUCGC
This 298-nucleotide ribosomal RNA is filed under the name uncultured Planctomycetota bacterium. Its description in RNAcentral is "uncultured planctomycete partial 16S ribosomal RNA". It matches the Rfam family "Bacterial small subunit ribosomal RNA", at positions 535 to 835 of the family's 1533-position model. Lineage: Bacteria; Pseudomonadati; Planctomycetota. The record is from RNAcentral.